This 152-nucleotide ribosomal RNA is filed under the name uncultured bacterium. Its description in RNAcentral is "partial 16S ribosomal RNA". It matches the Rfam family "Bacterial small subunit ribosomal RNA", at positions 356 to 504 of the family's 1533-position model. The record is from RNAcentral.
GAGGAAUAUUGGUCAAUGGACGAGAGUCUGAACCAGCCAAGUAGCGUGAAGGAUGACUGCCCUAUGGGUUGUAAACUUCUUUUAUAUGGGGAAUAAAGUGUUCCACGUGUGGGAUUUUGUAUGUACCAUAUGAAUAAAGAUCGGCUAACUCC